Non-coding RNA from Paramormyrops kingsleyae, 469 nucleotides. The record is from RefSeq and is a predicted model, not a curated record. Lineage: Eukaryota; Metazoa; Chordata; Actinopteri; Osteoglossiformes; Mormyridae.
GCUUGUUACCACAUGCCCCGAGACGCAAGCGUUUGGAGACCAGUAUGAAGACGGCAGCUUCGGCUGCCUGGAAGAGCGCGUAGAGGAGUGGGAACAUGUACAUUCCGCCCAUCAGGUCAGGCGGAAAGGCCAGUUUGAGGAUGGCAGUACAGAGCUGUACAUUCUGGCAGCCCGUUUCCAGGGAGACAGUCCGGCGGCUGUUAGGAGGCGCGGCUGUACAACCACAGGCAGAGCGGCAUGAGCACCAGCGCCAGCAGGGUGGAAGAAAUGGUCAUGAUGACGCUGGAGGACAGAAAGGGGACCCGUUAUCGUUUGUAUAGUUACUGCGAUGGCUCUAAAGAAGUGUUCCAAUUCUUAAAACACGAAAUAUUUCUUGAUUUCUCUCUGAUUUCUCUUGUUUUAAAUACGUAUUAUUGAUAUAUAUAUUAGAUAUUUAAAGAUACUACAUUGUUAAUUGAGUUAUUUGUAA